This 3104-nucleotide long non-coding RNA is filed under the name Homo sapiens (human). RNAcentral's name for it is "HSALNT0354332". Lineage: Eukaryota; Metazoa; Chordata; Mammalia; Primates; Hominidae. The record is from RNAcentral.
UCCCUCCAAUUCCCUAGAUAUGGACUGAGAUCCAAAGUCUGGGUAAAUAAGAGAAAGAGGACAGGAACUUUCUUCCUCUCAGUAGCCUCCUCCCAUUCCCUCUUUCCUGAAUUCUUUUCUUUGAGAGAAAUCAUAUUUAGGUUAAGACAAAAAGAACAAUAGUGCGUGUAAAGCUUCUGACCUCACCCAAAAACAUUAUAAAAUGAGCUAUAAAUCCAGGGAACACAAUGUCUGCACAUUCUGCAGCUUUCCAGAAAAUCUAGGCCAGGCAACUGGAGGGGAUAGGAUGGGAAAGUGGGGGCUGGAGAAUAAUUUCUCACUCCUCCAGUGCUAAUAGUCUCUGCAAUAGGAUCCUAUUUAUUUUCUUAUUCAGUUCCCAAGAGCCUGUGGAGUGGGCACACAGCAAUUAUUGGAGUUAAGCAGAAGGUUGAGCUACAUAAAAUCAUCUGGCUACUUAGCAGCCAGCAUCAGAAUCCGGGUCUUCAGAUCCCACAAACUUGUUUUGUUUCUUUGAGUUUUGAGUUGGAACCAAUUGAAUCAGUCCCAGAUGUUGAUAUCAGUGCAUCUGUAGUUGAGAAGAUAAACAAUUCUUUCUAGGCCUUGAGAAAUUUGCAAAAUAUUUUACUUUUCUACACUUGUUUCUUGAACACCUACUAUAUGCAAGAGGUGGGCACUGGAGUCCAAAGCGAAGGUCAUAUGAUAGCUGCUUAAUAAAAUUUGCUGAUCGAAUGAAGGAGCUAAUGAAUUCAAUAAAAUCAGGGAAGGCUUCUUGGAGGAGGAGCACCUUGCUCCAGUGGGCUGAGAAGACAUUCCAUGAGACCAGAGCAAGGAGAGGAGUGGCCUGGCAGCUGAAGCCAGAGACAGACUUGAACCUGGAGUUUACCUUUUUGAGAGUUAAAUCUGUGUGGAGGAGGAAAGGAGGAGAGACUAGAAGCGGAGAGGCCCUUUGGAGGCUCUGGUUCAGGCAAAAAAGGAUGGGCUGUGAAUUCCUGCAUUUAUCUACCUUUGUUUUCCUGUGUAGACACAAGGCUGCCUGGCCUCUCAGAGAAUCUUCACAUCAAACCUAGGAGAAAGGUACUAUUAUCAUCUCUAAGUUACAAAAAUGGGAACUGAGCCACCAAAUGGCUAAGUGGUUUGCCUAAGAACACAGCGCUGGGCAGACAGAGGAACCAGGGGACUUAGGCCUUGCCAAGGAGGUGACAGUUGGACUGGCCUGGAGGGACUGGCCUGGAAAGAACAGCUACAGUAUGGCCACAGGGUUCCGGGAUGGCCAAGGAGGCCCAUCUCACCAGACCUGGCCCUGAGAAACUUCACCAGCAAGGCUUUCAAAUCGGGUGCGUGAUUGCUACGACGUGAGUUCCCUUCCAGUAGGGCCUGCAGCUGCUCUGUCCUCCUGGAUGGAGAAUCUGACUCCAACUCAGCUUCCCAAACCACACACAAUUCCAAGAUGAGACUGGUCUUCCUCUGGGGGACCAAGGAGAAAUGUGGUAAUUUAGACUCUCAAAGACUCUUCCUAAAAAGCUGGGCUGUUAAGGAAUCCACUCCAAGCGAUCACCAUCUGUGGCAGGCAGCUGGUGGAAUAGACAGAACUGUUUUGACAUCAGAUGAACUAGAAUUUGAAUACUGGUUUAGUCCUGUCUAGCUGUAGGGAUUUGAAGGGAAAUACAGUUUUUCUUUCGGAAAACCAGGACAAUAAUAUUGUACUAGAUUUGUGAGGUUAAAGAUAUAGAAGGUAUAGACAGCUAGGAGGUGUUGGGAGAUUGGGGCUUCUAUUCUUUGUUUUGCAUUAUUAUUCUUAGCAAAGCCACUUACAGGGUGUCUGAAGAAGCAUCCCUUUCUUUGGCUCCAGAGUGUGAGUAGAGUUUAUUAGGGUCCCCCUGGCUUUUGGGUCCACCCAGUUUCUUCUGCAGACAAUGUUUGGACUGAACUUCACUCUCUGUACAAUGAGGAAACCUGUUUUAAAGGCCUCACUUGUCAAAAAAACAGCCAUAAAACAGACUUAAUGAGACUUCUGGAUACAGCCAGGCCCAUGUGAUUGGCUGCUCCAGGGCAGGCAAGGCUGGAAUUCAGGGCUCUGAACGUGCUGGCCGGCUGCGCUCCAGCCCCGGUCUGUGCUGGUGGUGUUCCGUGUGCUCUGUCCGCCUCUCCUUUAACUUCCCUGAUAAAAUGCUUACUUGGAUAUUGUUCUGAGAUGAUUGAUUGUUAAAUGCCCUGCAAAUACAAAACUAGGCUGCUAAGUCACACUCGAGAGAAGUCCAGGAAAUCCUCUAGUUGAAUGUUACAGCCGGCUUCUCCUGAAUAGAGGCACAGCAGCAGAUUUCACCUAGCCAACCCGUUUGCUUUUUAAAUGGGGAGACCGAGGCCCUGAAAGGGGAAAGCACUUACAUAAUAUGUAUGUUUUAUUACAACUAAAAAAAAAAAAGACAGAGAGAAAGACGAAUAGACAAGGCCCUCGUAGACCAGGAGGAUGGCAGACUCACUGGAUUCAUGCUGGGUGGGGGGCCUCUCUAAGCUCUUUCCCCCACUCUACCUUUCUGCUCCUUCUCCUUUAUUCCCCAUAGAUAGAGAGCAGUUUUUCCUCCUAGUACCAAAUGUGGAUGGUGGCAUAUUCUUUCCCUUUUACAGAAAUAUUAAAUCCCCCCAGGUCACACAGCUGUGUUGUCUGGGUGGUGGCUGAACCAGGAUUCCAUCUCAGGUGUGUCUGAUGGCCAUCACGAUACCACUGUAAAGCUGAGCUCAUUGACUAACGCUUAGGAAGUGGAGGGCCUUACAUUCUAGAUUCCAACCUUCGCCUACAACAAAGGAAACUGCCGGUAUUUUCCCAUUGCUAGUGACCUCUGCUUUCUUGUGACCAACAAGUAAGCAAGUCAAGUCCAUUUGUUAAGCUCUGUGACUCUUUUCAUUGUUAGGAAAAUUUGGACUUCAAAGUGAGGGAGUUUUGGGGGAUGCUUGGCCUCUUUGGGACCGAGAGGGUGAGGACAGCUGUUUUCUUGUUCAAUUGGCAGCCCUGGAUUAAAUUUCUAAUUUUCUUCCUCACCUAUUUCCUCCCUGUUUCCUAUAAGCUUAGCCCUUUUCCUGGCACAUAGUAGGUGUUCAAUAAAUAU